GUAUCAGAAGUGCGAAUGCUGACAUAAGUAACGAUAAAGCGGGUGAAAAGCCCGCUCGCCGGAAGACCAAGGGUUCCUGUCCAACGUUAAUCGGGGCAGGGUGAGUCGACCCCUAAGGCGAGGCCGAAAGGCGUAGUCGAUGGGAAACGGGUUAAUAUUCCCGUACUUGGUGUUACUGCGAAGGGGGGACGGAGAAGGCUAUGUUGGCCGGGCGACGGUUGUCCCGGUUUAAGCGUGUAGGUGUGUGUUCCAGGUAAAUCCGGUUCACUUUAACACUGAGGCGUGACGACGAGGCACUACGGUGCUGAAGCAACAAAUGCCCUGCUUCCAGGAAAAGCCUCUAAGCAUCAGGUAACAUCAAAUCGUACCCCAAACCGACACAGGUGGUCAGGUAGAGAAUACCAAGGCGCUUGAGAGAACUCGGGUGAAGGAACUAGGCAAAAUGGUGCCGUAACUUCGGGAGAAGGCACGCUGACAC
This 478-nucleotide ribosomal RNA is filed under the name Salmonella enterica subsp. enterica serovar Heidelberg. Its description in RNAcentral is "partial 23S ribosomal RNA". It matches the Rfam family "Bacterial large subunit ribosomal RNA", at positions 1279 to 1757 of the family's 2925-position model. RNAcentral also lists the same sequence under 1 other name. Lineage: Bacteria; Pseudomonadati; Pseudomonadota; Gammaproteobacteria; Enterobacterales; Enterobacteriaceae. The record is from RNAcentral.